GCUGCGACGCCUCAGUGGUAAGACAGCGACCUUGUAGUGAGGAGGAGACGCGAGUUCGAUUCUUGCGUGUAGCA
Molecule: non-coding RNA, 74 nt
Organism: Eragrostis curvula (weeping love grass)
Lineage: Eukaryota; Viridiplantae; Streptophyta; Magnoliopsida; Poales; Poaceae
Source: the annotation of a GenBank genome assembly